This is a non-coding RNA of Phoenix dactylifera (date palm), 1633 nucleotides long. NCBI's taxonomy places the organism in Eukaryota, Viridiplantae, Streptophyta, Magnoliopsida, Arecales, Arecaceae. The record is from RefSeq and is a predicted model, not a curated record.
GGAAUGCUGUCGAGGUUUGAGCAAAUUUUUUUUCAAAAUUGCUGGAGAAAUUCCCUUUGGUCGAAUCUAAUAUAUGCAGGUCGAGUCAAACUUAUUUCGGAUGAUCCCUGAACCCGAAUGACACGCACCCCAUUCAUCCCAACUCUAUUGUUUCUUUCACAUCCAAUUGAGCUCGACUUUUCAUGUUCUAACAUUUUGUCCCAAAAUCUCCUACGUUGCAAUGUUUAAGCCCAUAUCACGUUCAUUAGACUUUAUCCCGGUUGAAACCAGCCAUUCCAGUCAUCUCUUCAUUACACGUCAUCAUGCAAAUCCCCUUCAUUCCAUCUCAACUUUGUGGAUUUUCCUCCACGUCCUUCCCAACUCCCGUAUUCCAAAGUCCACAGCCGGAACAGAGCCGAGACCCACGGACCAGCAUUUCGCAUCUCCCCUUGCAUCCCGACUUGGCCACACCCUCAACGUCUUCCGCUAGAUCCCAGUCAAAAUAAGCUUUCCAGAUUUCCUAUCAUCCUUAUCCAAAGCCGAGACCCAUUCCCUGUUUCUGGAUCAUCUCCCAACCGGAUCCCCAACUCCACACUCCCUACAAAUCCAACCAAACUCCCAGCCGAGAUCUUCUCAGCUCCCCCUCGCGCCUGUUCCCAUAAGCCACGUCUUCUUUCGGAUCGAUCUCACAUCCUUAUCCCUUCCGUGUUCAAAGCUCCAGCUUAUCUAUGCUUCAGCCGAUAACCAAACGCAUCCUCCCAGCAUCCUCUUCCUUCGAAACAGAGUACCAGCCAUCAGCCGAAUCCAGCUCCUCCCAACAUCCAAGAUCUUCUUCCGGACUCCCAGCUUCCACCGUGAAAAUCUUCAUCCCGUUCGCGUUCGGAUAUGCUUGAUUCAACUAUCCACAUGAGAAAUCUCACACGGUAUCUCCCUUGUUCUUGCAAUCAACCUUAUCCCAACAUCUCAGCAACCAUCCUUUACCGUCCACAUCAUCCUAAAUCCCAGCAUCCCCUGUUCCCAAUUGGAUGAACAUUCCAAACAACCACUCCCAGAACCAAGUUCAGAUCCCAUCCUCUCCACGAUAGCUUCUUUCUGAGCUUCACGGCAUCCAAAUGCAUCUUCCCCUGUUUCAAAACUAUCAACCUAGUGUUCCGAAUUGAUCUUCUUCAAGAUUCCUCCCACGUCCACGAACAAACUUCCCUGCAUCCUCAUCCCGUGAACAACCAAACUAUCCUCCCCUGUUUCAACUUCAACGUCCUCAACCGAACCCAACAAUCUCCCAGCCAUCUUUCGGAUCCCAUGGAAUCUCCUAGCAUCCCACAGUCAGCCUCCGAGAUUAUUCCCAGCCGUCUUCUAGAUUAAUCCCAGCCAACUGCAAAUCAAAGUCAUCCUUAUCCCCUGCGUGAUAACAGAGGCUGUGAAGGCUAUAAAAGGGAAUCAAUGCAUGCAAGCUAGAGGCAUUCCUCCUCUCCCCCACCGGGGGGCAUUCCCUCUUCCCCCACUAGGGGGAGGCUUCUCCCAACUCUCUUCACAGGCCAAGUUUCCACUGGGAGAAGAAGAGCUCGGUUUCACAGGUGAAGUUCCCACGGAAGAAGAUGAAAUAACAGGAGAGAGAAGAGUUUGGGUCUUUUUGGGAAUGCCUUCUCAAAAGAAA